This 400-nucleotide unclassified non-coding RNA is filed under the name soil metagenome. RNAcentral's name for it is "partial contains 5.8S ribosomal RNA, internal transcribed spacer 2, and large subunit ribosomal RNA". The stretch from base 1 to 122 matches the Rfam family "5.8S ribosomal RNA", at positions 35 to 154 of the family's 154-position model. The record is from RNAcentral.
GAUGAAGAACGCAGCGAAAUGCGAUACUUGGUGUGAAUUGAAGAAUCCCGUGAACCAUCGAGUCUUUGAACGCAAGUUGCGCCUCAAGCCAUUAGGUUGAGGGCACGUCUGCCUGGGCGUCACAUAUCGUUGCCUGAUGCCAGUUUCCUCGUGAUGGGUGACUGUGCAGGGCGAAUGAUGGCUUCCCGUGAGCAUUGUUGCCUCAUGGUUGGUUGAAAAUUGAGUCCUUGGUAGGGAGCGCCGUGAUAGAUGGUGGUUGAGUGACGAACGAGACCCAAUCAUGUGAGACCCCUACCGAAUUUGGCCUUCAUGACCCACAUGCGUCUUUGGAACGCUCAUGACGAGACCUCAGGUCAGGCGGGGCUACCCGCUGAGUUUAAGCAUAUCAAUAAGCGGAGGA